UUUAUUUUUUUAGAAAAAAGAAAAAAAAUAUAGAGUCGUGCUGUGCGACUCACAGGAGAAGGGUGAAGAACAGUUUAACCCAUGGUUGCUUAGAAAAGAAGAAGAGCUGAAGAACGUGGAGAAAAAUUCCACGGGUUCAAAACCCACGAAGCUGGCGGUUUCCACAAUUUCAGAACCCAUCACCACCAUGUUACUUAUAUUUUCUUCGUCCACUUUACCGGCACCCUUUUCUGCUUCAAAAAUCGAAAUCGCGAGUAACCACCCAGGAACUCCCAGUGUAAAGACUGGUCAGACCCAAAAACCUUCCUUUCUCAUUCCGCACCACCCCUCAGUAUAGAAAGCUUCGUGUGUUUGCGUCUCAGUUGUUUCAGUGCAUUUUCCAGUACAACCAUGGCUUCUUUCGGCUCUACCCGACGCGAAGAAGAUUCGAUAAACAAAUUUUCUAAAUUCCAUACCCUCUACAAUACAUAUAUGUGUAUAUUUUCUCCGUUUCGUUUCUCAGAAAGGAAUUUUUUUCUUCGAAAAAUUAGGAAUGAAACAUUGAGCUUCAUGUACCGCAUCCUUUUGCUCUUGAAAUUCAUUUUCCUUCAUCUUUUUUGUAUGUCUAAUGUUUAAAUUCCAAAUUUUAGUUGGUUUUUUGAAUUGGGUAAUUGUUGUUGUUGGAGAAUUGGAUUAGAUUUUAUUUCUUUGUACCAUUCUCUCUCUCUCUCAUUUUUGGUUCCUCGUGGAAUUUUUGCUUCAAUUUCUGCUCUUUUUGGUUCAAAGAAGAAAGCAUUUAGGUUUGAUAUGUUUACUAUCUCUAAUUUUUGGAUCCUAAUGGGAUUUCUUUGAUUAUAUAUGCUGUUUCUCCAGAGCACCAAUGAAGAAAGCAUUUAGAUUUGAUGGGUUUGAUGUCAACGAGCACCAAUGAAGAAAGCAUUUAGAUUUGAUGGGUUUGAUGUCAAUGUUGUUUGCCCUUUUGCUGGUGAUUCGGGGCUCUCUAAUCUUGGCUCCAUUUGUCAACGGCUGUGAUGGCAGAGUCAGACACGACAGUAUCUAUAGCGUGAGAAAACUAAACAGAUCAAACCAAAGCGCAUAAAUUGCAAGGAAGGUUCACAUCACAGCAUUGGUUAUUGAAAAGUGAAAAGGAGUAUGGAUACAUGUAAAAAAACAAAUAAAGGAAAUUUGUACUGGAUAAUUUGUCUUUGUGCCAAAAUAAUGAGUUGCUUAGGUGAAAUACAAAUAUGUUUUUAUUAUUUGAUUGUGUCUUCUGAGGGGUGGUGCCAA
Molecule: long non-coding RNA, 1266 nt
Organism: Prunus avium (sweet cherry)
Lineage: Eukaryota; Viridiplantae; Streptophyta; Magnoliopsida; Rosales; Rosaceae
Source: RefSeq, a predicted model, not a curated record